UACGGAGGGAGCUAGCGUUGUUCGGAAUUACUGGGCGUAAAGAGCGUGUAGGCGGUCCGGUAAGUCCGCUGUGAAAGUCGGGGGCUCAACCCUCGAAUGCCGGUGGAUACUGUCGGGCUAGAGUGCGGAAGAAGAGAGUGGAAUUCCUGGUGUAGCGGUGAAAUGCGCAGAUAUCAGGAAGAACACCCGUGGCGAAGGCGGCUCUCUGGGACGGUACUGACGCUGAGACGCGAAAGCGUGGGGAGCGAACAGG
Molecule: ribosomal RNA, 253 nt
Filed under: uncultured bacterium
Lineage: Bacteria
Description: partial 16S ribosomal RNA
Rfam family: Bacterial small subunit ribosomal RNA
Source: RNAcentral